GGUAUGGCUGUUCGCCAUUUAAAGUGGUACGCGAGCUGGGUUUAGAACGUCGUGAGACAGUUCGGUCCCUAUCUGCCGUGGGCGCUGGAGAACUGAGGGGGGCUGCUCCUAGUACGAGAGGACCGGAGUGGACGCAUCACUGGUGUUCGGGUUGUCAUGCCAAUGGCACUGCCCGGUAGCUAAAUGCGGAAGAGAUAAGUGCUGAAAGCAUCUAAGCACGAAACUUGCCCCGAGAUGAGUUCUCCCUGACUCCUUGAGAGUCCUGAAGGAACGUUGAAGACGACGACGUUGAUAGGCCGGGUGUGUAAGCGCAGCGAUGCGUUGAGCUAACCGGUACUAAUGAACCGUGAGGCUUAACCUUACAACGCCGAAGGUGUUU
This 379-nucleotide ribosomal RNA is filed under the name Escherichia coli. Its description in RNAcentral is "partial 23S ribosomal RNA". It matches the Rfam family "Bacterial large subunit ribosomal RNA", at positions 2570 to 2925 of the family's 2925-position model. Lineage: Bacteria; Pseudomonadati; Pseudomonadota; Gammaproteobacteria; Enterobacterales; Enterobacteriaceae. The record is from RNAcentral.